This is a ribosomal RNA of 460 nucleotides. The stretch from base 1 to 128 matches the Rfam family "5.8S ribosomal RNA", at positions 28 to 154 of the family's 154-position model.
UUGCAUCGAUGAAGAACGCAGCGAAUUGCGAUAAGUAAUGUGAAUUGCAGAUUUUCAGUGAAUCAUCGAAUCUUUGAACGCACCUUGCGCUCCUUGGUAUUCCGAGGAGCAUGCCUGUUUGAGUGUCAUUUGAAUUCUCAACCAUGUCUUGAUUGAUUUCGAGGCAUGGCUUGGACUUGGGGGUUGCUGGCGGCGAAAUGCUGUCGGCUCUCCUGAAAUGCAUUAGCAAAAGGGGCUGCAAGUCUUUGGACGUGCACGGCCUUCGACGUGAUAAUGAUCGUCGUGGCUGGAGCGUCGGACAUGCAUGAAUGGUCCCAUUGCUUCCAAUUCCUAAUCCAAGGUCUAGAGUCGCUUAGCUACUAGUCAGGUCGAGAGGCCGACGAACGUUGGGUGGUCAAGGCUUGGCUGUUUUCGNNACUUGACCUCAAAUCAGGUAGGACUACCCGCUGAACUUAAGCAU